This 446-nucleotide ribosomal RNA is filed under the name uncultured bacterium. Its description in RNAcentral is "partial 16S ribosomal RNA". It matches the Rfam family "Bacterial small subunit ribosomal RNA", at positions 29 to 523 of the family's 1533-position model. The record is from RNAcentral.
AACGAACGCUGGCGGCAGGCUUAACACAUGCAAGUCGAACGCCCCGCAAGGGGAGUGGCAGACGGGUGAGUAACGCGUGGGAACGUGCCCUUCGCUUCGGAAUAGCCCCGGGAAACUGGGAGUAAUACCGGAUACGCCGUAUUGGGAAAGAUUUAUCGGCGAAGGAUCGGCCCGCGUGGGAUUAGCUAGUUGGAGGUGUAAUGGACCCCCAAGGCUACGAUACAUAGCUGGUCUGAAAGGAUGAUCAACCACACUGGGACUGAGACACGGGCCAGCAUCCUACGGGAAGCAGCAGUGGGGAAUCUUGUACAAUGGGGGCACGCCUGAUCCAGCCAUGCCGCGUGAGUGAAGAAGGCCUUAGGGUUGUAAAACUCUUUCGCCGGAGAAGAUAAUGACGGUAUCCGAAGAAGAAGCCCCGGCUAACUUCGUGCCAGCCGCCGCCGUAA